GUGAUGCCCAGGAGAGGGAAUGGAAACCUGGAGCUGGGAGCGAGGUUGGAGCUGUAAGAUCCAAGACCCAGGGAGACAAGAGGACCCUGGGGACAAAUAGGAACAGCUGAGCAAGGGAUGCUGGAAUCGACCUUGAUCUCUAGUUCGACUCCCGUGCAACGUGUUGAGGAGGAGCCACCUCCUCCAAGCACCUAAAGCCGACCCAGAAACGCCUCCCAAUCCCUCCACACCGCGGCUCCCGGGAUCCGAAGCUGGGGAGCUGCUUCUGUCCAAUCAGGCUUUGUAUCCCGGGACGCUUCCGGUUAUGGCGUCAUUAUGCAGCCAGGUAUAUUUAUCCUCUGGCACGGGAACCUUCAGCGCAUUAAACUACAAACACAAGGACAGUGAGUCGUCACCAAUACACCCAGGAGCUCAAAGGGCUGGAAGCUACGAAUCCUUAAAGGUCAUACUGAAAGACGUUCUGUGUCCCAAGCGGAAACGAAUACGCAUCUCAAUACUGGGUAGAAAGAAUAUUAGACUGGGAACAGGAGCUCAACGGUCUUCUCAGCCCUAUCGCUAACUGGGAACCCUAGACAAUGCUUUAUGAUGAUGAGCUUCAUUUUCUUCAUCUGAAAAGGACAGCUGGA
Molecule: small RNA, 626 nt
Filed under: Pan troglodytes (chimpanzee)
Lineage: Eukaryota; Metazoa; Chordata; Mammalia; Primates; Hominidae
Description: processed transcript
Source: RNAcentral